RNAcentral lists this non-coding RNA (101 nucleotides) under Pelotomaculum thermopropionicum SI. RNAcentral's name for it is "pan motif". It matches the Rfam family "pan motif". Lineage: Bacteria; Bacillati; Bacillota; Clostridia; Eubacteriales; Desulfotomaculaceae. The record is from RNAcentral.
AGGGCGGUAUCCGGGCGCGGAACCGCACCGUAAAAAAGCGUUUUUUUGACAACCUGGUAUUUUUUGGAACCGCUUGGAGCCGGAAGGACCGAGACGGGAGG